GUAGUCCACGCCGUAAACGAUGGGUACUAGGUGUUGCAGGAAUUGACCCCUGCAGUGCCGCAGCUAACGCAUUAAGUACCCCGCCUGGGAAGUACGGCCGCAAGGUUAAAACUCAAAGGAAUUGACGGGGGCCCGCACAAGCGGUGGAGCAUGUGGUUUAAUUCGAUGCAACGCGAAGAACCUUACCUGGGUUUGACAUCCCCUGACAGUCCUAGAAGUAGGAUUUCCUCUUCGGAGGCAGGGAGACAGGUGCUGCAUGGCUGUCGUCAGCUCGUAUCGUGAGAUGUCGGGUUAAGUCCCUUAACGAGCGCAACCCUUAUCCCUAGUUGCCAUCAUUUAGUUGGGCACUCUAUGGAGACCGCCGGUGUUAAACCGGA
This 377-nucleotide ribosomal RNA is filed under the name uncultured bacterium. RNAcentral describes it as "bacterial SSU rRNA". It matches the Rfam family "Bacterial small subunit ribosomal RNA", at positions 790 to 1167 of the family's 1533-position model. The record is from RNAcentral.